GUCUAUGGCCAUACCACCCUGAACAUGCCUAACCCUUGUGUGACCUCAGAAGCUAAGCAGGGUCAUGUCUGGUUAGUACUUGGAUCCAAGAAGAGUGAUAACAGUAAUGCUAAUAAUU
This 118-nucleotide ribosomal RNA is filed under the name Prolemur simus (greater bamboo lemur). The record is from RNAcentral. Lineage: Eukaryota; Metazoa; Chordata; Mammalia; Primates; Lemuridae.